ACGUCCAGACUGGCCACGUCUGUGUAUAACGUUCAGAGAAGGUGCUGUGCAAUCUCCAACUUGCUUCCUCUCUUGGGAGGGCAGUUCUUUUACACCCUGAGGUCUCCUGGGGCGUCUUUUCAGUGAUUCCAGUCCAGGCCGGCUGCCUGUGGCUUCUUCAGCGUCCCCAAACCACGCCGGCUCCAGGGUCGCAAAGGCAGACUGUUGGAUCUCACUGGACAGUUAAGCUUUGCAAAUUUGAGAAGAUCUACGGAACUGCUUAGCUCUAUCGAGGUGGAAUGCCAGCAACCUUCUGGCAUCCAGGGUGUGCAAAUGUCCCCCUUCUCUGUUCGAGUGUGGCUUUGGAAAGAAUGAAGGUACAGUAAGUAUUCUAGACUGUGCAGGAUCAAGGAACAGGACAGCAAAACACCAAAAUGGCAUGACCAGAUGAAAAAACACCUCCAUUUAGAAAGAGUCGUCAUGUCGUGGAAAGCAAGCCCUUGAUGUCCUUGUUGCUCAAAGAAGAACCUUCAUGUGACUCCUAUUCUCC
This is a long non-coding RNA of Malaclemys terrapin pileata, 529 nucleotides long. RefSeq lists it as uncharacterized. The record is from RefSeq and is a predicted model, not a curated record. The transcript is spliced from 4 exons. NCBI's taxonomy places the organism in Eukaryota, Metazoa, Chordata, Testudines, Emydidae.